This 492-nucleotide ribosomal RNA is filed under the name uncultured bacterium. RNAcentral describes it as "partial 16S ribosomal RNA". It matches the Rfam family "Bacterial small subunit ribosomal RNA", at positions 29 to 507 of the family's 1533-position model. The record is from RNAcentral.
AGUGAACGCUGGCGGUAGGCCUAACACAUGCAAGUCGAACGGCAGCACAGUAAGAGCUUGCUCUUACGGGUGGCGAGUGGCGGACGGGUGAGGAAUACAUCGGACUCUACUUUUUCGUGGGGGAUAACGUAGGGAAACUUACGCUCAUACCGCAUACGACCUACGGGUGAAAGCAGGGGAUCUUCGGACCUUGCGCGAUUGAAUGCGCCGAUGUCGGAUUAGCUAGUUGGCGGGGUAAAGGCCCACCAAGGCGACGAUCCGUAGCUGGUCUGAGAGGAUGAUCAGCCACACUGGAACUGAGACACGGUCCAGACUCCUACGGGAGGCAGCAGUGGGGAAUAUUGGACAAUGGGCGCAAGCCUGAUCCAGCCAUACCGCGUGGGUGAAGAAGGCCUUCGGGUUGUAAAGCACUUUUGUUGGGAAAGAAAAGCAGCAGGUUAAUACCCCGCUGUUCUGACGGUACCCAAAGAAUAAGCACCGGCUAACUUCGUG